This 1998-nucleotide ribosomal RNA is filed under the name Exosphaeroma sp. RW99.143. RNAcentral's name for it is "SSU rRNA". It matches the Rfam family "Eukaryotic small subunit ribosomal RNA". Lineage: Eukaryota; Metazoa; Arthropoda; Malacostraca; Isopoda; Sphaeromatidae. The record is from RNAcentral.
UUGCUUGUUNNCAAAGAUUAAGCCAUGCAUGUCUAAGUACAGGCCGACCCAAGGCGAAACCGCAAAUGGCUCAUUAAAUCAGUCAUGAUUCAUUGGAUGUUGAUGAAUCUUUUACUCGGAUAACCGUGGUAAUUCUAGAGCUAAUACGUGCAAUCGAGCUCCGACCCCGCCAUUCCAGGCGGGGGAAGGGCGCAUUUAUUAGAAUCAUAAACCGAGCGGACUGCGGUCCGUCUCAUACGAGGUUGUGAUGACUCUGAAUAACUACGCCGAGCGCUGAGGCCUUCGUGCCGGCGCCGUAUCCUCCGAGUGUCUGCCUUAUCAGCUUUCGAUUGUAGGUUAUACGCCUACAAUGGCUGUAACGGGUAACGGGGAAUCAGGGUUCGAUUCCGGAGAGGGAGCCUGAGAAACGGCUACCACAUCUAAGGAAGGCAGCAGGCACGCAAAUUACCCACUCCCGGCACGGGGAGGUAGUGACGAUAAAUAACGAUGCGGGACUCUUCCGAGGCCUCGCAAUCGGAAUGAGUUCACUCUAAAUACUUGGACGAGGAUCCAUUGGAGGGCAAGUCUGGUGCCAGCAGCCGCGGUAAUUCCAGCUCCAAUAGCGUAUAUUAAAGUUGUUGGCGGUUAANNNNNNNNNNNNNAAAGCAGGCAAACCUUAUAGCCUGAAUGUAUAUGCAUGGAAUGAUGGAACAGGACCUCGGUUCUGCAUUUUUCUCUCGGUUUUCCGAACCCGAGGUAAUGAUUAACGGGAACGGACGGGGGCAUUAGUAUUGCGACGCUAGAGGUGAAAUUCUUGGACCGUCGCAAGACUAACUACUGCGAAAGCAUUUGCCAAGAACGCUUUCAUUAAUCAAGAACGAAAGUUAGAGGAUCGAAGGCGAUCAGAUACCGCCCUAGUUCUAACCUUAAACGAUGCCAACUGGCGAUCCGCUUACGUUAUUCCCACGACUGAGCGGGGAGCCCCCGGGAAACCAAAGUCUUUGGGUUCCGGGGGAAGUAUGGUUGCAAAGCUGAAACUUAAAGGAAUUGACGGAAGGGCACCACCAGGAGUGGAGCCUGCGGCUUAAUUUGACUCAACACGGGGAACCUCACCAGGCCCAGACACCGGAAGGAUUGACAGAUUGAGAGCUCUUUCUCGAUUCGGUGGGUGGUGGUGCAUGGCCGUUCUUAGUUGGUGGAGCGAUCUGUCUGGUUGAUUCCGAUAACGAACGAGACUCUACCCUACUAACUAGUCGGUGGAUCGUAUCCCGAGACGGGUUCCCCUGUCGGGGGGUUCGGUGCGGUACGUUGGCCCUCCGUCCGCGGCGUCCUUCCCUCUAAAUGCGGCGGGAAAAUGCCGUUUUUUCGUCCCUCCUCCCUCCCGGGGCGUUUCGGCGCUUCGGGUGUGGAGGUGGGCGGGAGGCGGCACGACUCGUGCGCGUAGGGGGGCCAAAACGGGGCGUCGCGCGUCGUUAGAGGCGUCGCGUCCGCGCUCGCUACAUUCCCCGUUCAGGGCCCAGCGAGGGGCGUCCACCGCAACAUCUUCUUAGAGGGAUCGGCGGCGUCCAGCCGCACGAGAGAGAGCAAUAACAGGUCUGUGAUGCCCUUAGAUGUUCUGGGCCGCACGCGCGCUACAAUGAAGGGAUCAGCGUGCUUUCCCCCUCCGAAAGGAGCGGGUAACCCGUUGAAACCCCUUCCCGAUUGGGAUUGGGGAUUGCAAGUGUUUCCCAUGAACGAGGAAUUCCCAGUAAGCGCAAGUCAUCAGCUUGCGAUGAUUACGUCCCUGCCCUUUGUACACACCGCCCGUCGCUACUACCGAUUGAAUGAUUCAGUGAGGGCGUCGGACUGGCGCCCUCGGUAGCUCUCGGUUUCGGGCAAUGCGCCUUCGCCCUUCCGGGGCGUUUGGCGGGCUCGGCCGUUAGGCACCCCGGGCCGCCGGAAAGACGUCCGAACUUGAUCAUUUAGAGGAAGUAAAAGUCGUAACAAGGUUUCCGUANGUGAACCUGGGGAAANGGAUCA